This 484-nucleotide ribosomal RNA is filed under the name uncultured bacterium. Its description in RNAcentral is "partial 16S ribosomal RNA". It matches the Rfam family "Bacterial small subunit ribosomal RNA", at positions 30 to 507 of the family's 1533-position model. The record is from RNAcentral.
AUUGAACGCUGGCGGCAGGCCUAACACAUGCAAGUCGAGCGGAUGAAGGGAGCUUGCUCCUGGAUUCAGCGGCGGACGGGUGAGUAAUGCCUAGGAAUCUGCCUGGUAGUGGGGGGUAACGUCCGGAAACGGGCGCUAAUACCGCAUACGUCCUGAGGGAGAAAGUGGGGGAUCUUCGGACCUCACGCUAUCAGAUGAGCCUAGGUCGGAUUAGCUAGUUGGUGGGGUAAAGGCCUACCAAGGCGACGAUCCGUAACUGGUCUGAGAGGAUGAUCAGUCACACUGGAACUGAGACACGGUCCAGACUCCUACGGGAGGCAGCAGUGGGGAAUAUUGGACAAUGGGCGAAAGCCUGAUCCUGCCAUGCCGCGUGUGUGAAGAAGGUCUUCGGAUUGUAAAGCACUUUAAGUUGGGAGGAAGGGCAGUAAGUUAAUACCUUGCUGUUUUGACGUUACCAACAGAAUAAGCACCGGCUAACUUCGUG